AGGCUGGAGUAGACAGGAACCACGAGAGGCAGGGAGGACUGUACAGGGGUUGCUGACCAGGUGGAAGAUGAUGGGAGCCUCAGAAGGUGUCGUGGGACAGGGUCAGGGAGAGGGCUCUAUGCGGCCAGGAUCUGGAUGCAGAUUGUUGAGACUGAAAUUUGGCUCAGAUCCCUUCUAGUUGUGUCUGUUUAUCUUCAGUUUCCUUGUCUAUAAAAUGGGGAGAGAUUGUGUGUCCCCGGCAUCACUGGACUGUUAAUAGCUAUUGCAUUUAUAGCAUUUAUCCCAGAACCUGAAACACAGUAAAUGCUCAGUAAGUGUUAUUAUUUGCCCCAAACUGUCUUAGUGCUUUCCCCAAGAGCUUUGUGUUGUUUGUACUAUGAGGAAUAAUGAGGGUGGUGUGGGAGUCGGCCUCUGUGUCUGCAGAGAGGACCACAGGCCACAGGAAUAGAGACAGGUAGAUAGGAUCAAGGUGACAGGAACAGAUGUUCAGAGCAAGAGAUGAAGACGGCAUCAUCAACCCAGACAAGCCAGUUGGAGGCAUCUGUCCACCCAUGUGGUUCCAGACACGUUCAUGUGGCCACCAUGACCCCGUCGGCAUCACAGGGGUAACCAAGGUCCACAGAACGAGGGGAAAGGGUCACUGUGGAUCAAGCCAGGCUCCUCUGAGCAGUCCAGGGUCUAUUUACAGAGAGCAGCAAGUUCCUGGGACAGAGGAGACAGAAGGGAAUUUCCAGGUUCUUCAGGACGUUCACAACCACACUGAGAAGCAUCUUUGCAGAUAAGUAUUUAAACUUACCAGCCCAUAGCCUACCAGCCUGCCCUCUUCUGGUCUGUGCAGGAAAGUGUAGUAUCCUAGAAUGCCAAAGUGGGAGGGGAAAUGGGUGAUGUAGCUCAUUCUCUUUUCUACCUCUAUGGAAGAAAGAAAGAGCCUGUCCCCAUUUUGUGGGGUCCCAGAAAGGGUGAUUUUCACACUUCACAUUUGGCGUUAGGGCUAGUAUUUCACAAACAUUACCGUCUGGAACUUUUGAAGGCUGAGUUAAAUGACUUCAUCUUGUGUACUUGUAGAACUGCUAUUAGAAGGAGGCUGGGGACUCCCUGAUGAUGUGAACCAGCCCUUCUCUUCUCAGUUUCAGCACUUUGUGAUCAUAUUUAUAAACCUUGGACAGGGCUCCUUGGCCUUAGAGUUAAGUGAAGAGUUAACACUGUGACUUUAGAUGCAUUUUUCUCAGUGUAAGUGUCUGAGCUCAUCUCCAGUUCUGGACUCGUGCCCCCACUCCCGGGUGCUGACAGCAAGCUCUGAAGAUAUGCUGAGAGAGCUCCCUGACUCUCCUGACUCAGGUCUGCCAGUUGAUGAAGACAGCACAGUUGUUACCAAAAACAAAACCUGGCAGAUGGUCCUAGGUCAGGAUUAGUGGUCAUUCUCUGGUCUUCUCCAGACUGGUGACACAGGGUGGUCUUAAAAGAGUCCUAGUCCAGCCUCUGGCUCCCCGAAUUUCCUCUGGUGCAUGGGGCAUCAGGAAAGGGCAGGGGAGAAGGAGGGGGAGCAGAAAAAUAACUGAGGCUGGGCAGAAGGGUCCCUUCCAUUUCCCAUCCAUUGCUUCAAACAAUGGGUGAUUACCGUGCACCUUGAGUGAAUGUCAAGGCAGGAAGGGUUCCAGGGCCACCCAGUGUGGCAGGAGCAGAGCUGGGAUCAGAAUUCUGGAUUCCUGACUCUCCGUUCAGCUGCUAUUCAGCUAUCACCAAGCUGCUGAGUUUGUCCUACUUUCUCCUGGGUCACAUUCUGCUGUUGUUGGGAAACAGGGAGUGAGUGAAGGGAACCUGGGAACCCUUCUCCCCUCACCUUUUAAGGAUGUUCUGGGGUGGAAUAAAGAGAGGUGGAGGGUGGGGUGCCUGGGCCCAGCCUCCCUGGCUCCUGGUCCUUCUUUCUUCAGCAGGGAGUUCUGGCAAGGCCUGGGCCUGGGGAGGGGGCCUGGGUGCAGUUUUCUCCUGCGGUGUGGUUGGCUCUUUUGUCUUCCAGGAUGGGCCUGUGGGGUCUGUGUGGGGAAGGAAGGAGCUGGGAGCCUGGGCUGCCUGUGUGUCGGCUGGAUGCUGCCAGCACCGGCAUGGACCAAGCAACUUCUCUGAGCCAGAUGCUGGGGACGCAGAGGUGAACCCAGAGACAUGAUCCCAUCUGCUCAGAUCUUCAUGUCAGAACACGCUUUAUUACAGUCUCGGCAAGGGGGUGGCUCCAUCUGGGCCGCAUCUCCAGGACUCCUGGCCUGGACUUCUCUUUGGACCUCGGGUGACCUUGGAUUCUGGCCACAGUGACUUAGCGGUCAGACUCCGGUGGUUUUCUAGCCCGCUGGGUGACUCCCUGAAGAUCUCAUCCUCUUCACACCUGUUGGGAUGGAGCCUCCCAUGGAUAGGAACUCUUCCUGGUUGAUGCUCAGCAGAUGACUGAUCUGGCUCUGGAGGACAGCUCCAGGGGUAUGAGGGAGGCCUGGCAGCCCACUACUCCCUCCUCACCUGCUCGGGCCCUGCCUGCUGGGCCCUAUUGUCUGGGUCUGGGGGCCCUUUCCUGCCCCAUGUGAACUUGAUUCCUCCUCGCGUUUCUGCCGGUGACCAGACAGAGCCUGGCCUGGGCCAAGUCCCCACUGACCACACUUUCCCCAAGGCUGGGUCUCAAAGGACCCUACAGGAUGGGGACAGGAACAAGGAUGGGAGUCGGGGAGGGGCUGUCAGGCAGAGGGCAGAUGCAGCUCCUCGGGUGCCGCUGGCUGGAGUCCUUUGUCUCCAUUUGCUCAGUGCGUAAUUGUCAUUUUGUGGGGGACUUCCUUGGUGGGGCUUUUCCAUGCUUUUCCUCUCCCUGAUGGUUACAAAGAGGAGACAGUCAGGAUCUGGGAGGAGCUGGAGCCUUCCCCCUGUGCUGUUGAACUCUGGGAGGGGCAGCCAGAGGGGCUGAGAGUGCACCAUCCUGAAAAGAGAGGGUCUUUAAGAGAUAAGAUUUAGGCUAGGGAAAUUCACUAGAAAGAGACAGGUGGCCCUGGGUUUUUUUUCCUGCCAUCCAAAGGGAACCAGUCUUACCCAAAGGCUUAAGGGGUCACCUUAGCCCAGUCUCAGGACACUCUUCUCCAAUCAGAUCGCUGCUUCUAGUUGCACUGCUCCUGGAUUCUGUUCUUGGGGAACAGAAGGUGGCAGGACAGGCCCCACAAUCUGCAAUUCCAGCUCCCUCCAGAGGAGACAGUCCCAGCGUUUGCAAGAGAGCAGCUUGUGGCCUCCCUUAGGCAAGUUUAAAAGCCAGAUGUCCUUUUUCCCAGAAUGCGGAGUGGUGUGUACUAUUCAUCAGCUUGGGCUGCCACAGCACCAUGCCAGACUGGAUGGCUUAAACAUCAGGAAUUUAUUUUCUGCCAGUUCUGGAGGCUGGAAAGUCCAGAUCAAGGUGUUAAGACUUGGUUUCUGGUGAGGCCUCUCUCCUUGGCUUGCAGGUGGCACCUUCUCACUAUGUCCUCACAUGGCCUUUUCUCUGUGGAGAGGGACAGAGAGCAUGAGCAGGCUCUGGUGUCUCCUCCUCUUCUUAUAAAGACACUAAUAUCACCAUAUUAGGGCUUAAACCUAUGACCUCAUUUAACCUUAACCCCUUAAAGGUCCCAUCUCCAAAAACAGUCACAUAGCAGGCUACUGCUUCAACAUAUGCAUUUGGGGGAGGGGACACCAUUCAGUUCUUAACAGGGUGGUCACCGCAAACAUGGAAAGUCAGAGCCUUCUCCCCUUCAGAAUUCCCGCCCCCACCCAGGGAUGGGGAGGAGGAGCAGAGAGGUAUGGGAAGCAGACACGGAGAGUGGCAGGUACCAUGCUGGGGUGGCUCAGGAGUGCUUCGGAGGACAUAUGGAACUGGCAGGGCUCAGUGCAGGGAGGCGGAGGCCCUGGGAGAGCCGUGUCCUGAGAAGGGCCUGGGCUACAACCCUGGGCAAGUUACUUCACCUCUGAGCCUCCGAUGCUCUGUGAAAUGGAAGGAAUGUGCUUGCCUGUCAGGUGCAGGGAGAAUUCAGUGAGAUUGUGUGCCUAGCACAGUGCCUGACUCCCAGUAGGUGCUCAGCAAAUGCUCCCAUCCAUCUGGGAGUAUAGACUUAGGGUUUAUCUAUUUUUUUUUUUUUUUGGCUCUCUGGACUUUAAAACUCAGCAUCUUCUGAACCAGAGGCAUUUCUGAUUAGCCCUUCCCUACCUAUUUUCCUAGUAUCACUCUUUAAUCAGCUUGGGGAGGUGGCAGCAUUUCAUGGCCUCCGUAGUAACUCACAAUGCUUCCUGGGGUAUUUAAAUUCUACUCUCUCAUCAGCACUGAGCACCUACUUUGGGCCCUUUCCCGUGCUAGCCAUUUGGGGGAAAUAUAGGUGAAGAGUGGCUGGGGUUUGAACCUUUAGGAUUUCACAGCCAUGCUGGAUGGGAUAAAACCAGCUCACAUGGAGAAUCAGAGAAUGGGACAGUGCCACAAAACAGUCUACUGAGGCACAAGUUCUGAGUGCCUGGGAAGUGGUAGAGAGACCCCAGAGAGGGCUGCUGCAGUCUGGAACAGCUUCCUAGCAAGCUGUACCAAACAGGGCCUUGAAGGAUGAGAAAGAUCUGGCUGAGAUGAUACCCGACCCUCUAGGGAAAUUCUUAAAGUAACUUCUAGGAAAUGUCAUUGCUCCUUAAAAAAAAAAAAAAAAAAAAAAAAGCAGGUUCUAAUUCAAAUUCCGCUGCACUACUGAAGUAGUGCAGGACUUAUCAGAACCUUUAAAAUGCUAAUGGCAAUUUCAAAUACUCAGGGACAGGGCAUAGGAUGAAGUGUUCCUUGACUUUUAUGGCCGUAGAAUCUUUUUCUCAUGGAACAUCGUUUAGAACUGUGGGAGAUGCUAGGCUGGGGUUUCUAUGGGAAAAGUACAGCAGUGAUAGAAGAUGGCAUAAUUAGGGUACACUUAGGUGCUUUGUAGCAUUGGCUGAAAAGGAAGCAGACCGGGUGGGCGUGGGGGAGUCUCAACUUGGUUCCAGGAGCCAGGCCAGCUUGAUGCGUUUUUUUUUUUUCUAAUGGUGGGAGGGCAGGCCAAUAGUUGGAGAAACUAGAGGCCUGACAGUCGGUGAUGGAAGAGAUGUCUACUAAGCACGGUUGUCAGAUCUUUUGCGGAGAGAUGCGGGUGUGCGUGUGUCUGUCAGAGUGUAACAGGAUCCAGCCCUCUGGGAAGGGGCUGACCAGAACCAGGCAGGGGGUUUCUGUCUAGGACAAGUAGGGUCCAUUUUCAGGGGAGCUGAAAUAUUUGCAGGGGGUGCUCUGAGACCCACAGCCAAUAAAUAGGGAAGCAACAUGCUUUUGGGCAGGGUCCAUGUGGUUAGGGUUGAUUUUGAUGGGGCUGGGGGGCUUAGAGUUAGACCCCCUGCCCUGGUCAGGCCCCACUCCCUGGCUGGUGGGGGCGGGAGGCCUCUGAAGCUGCAGCUGGAGGGGCCGGGGCAGUGUUGCAUGGUGUGAUUAACCUACUAACCCAGGGCUCAGCCGGGACGCUGUGGCGUGUGACGAGGUGCCUGGCCUUCUGCCAACCAACUAACCCACUAACCAGGCCCGAGCAUGCCCUACUAACCACCCCCCCGCAGCCAGAUCCUACUAACUGUGCAGCUCAUGGGCCUUUCAAGGGGCUGGGAUAUGGGGGCAGCCAAGGCUCCAGAAGGCUCUGCCUAUGGGCUGGGAUCUUUGUGCAGACCCACGUUCCAGGACAGAGAAUGCAAAUAAGACUCACCAACUCUGCCACUUCCUGUUGAGUGAGUUUGAGUAAGUCACCUCACUUCUCUCAACCUCAGUUUCCUCAGUGGUAGAAUGCGAGUUCUGAUACCUUACAGGUUGCAGUGAGGAUUCCCGUCAAUAUAAGGGUCUCAGCACAUGGCAGACACCUAAAAAAAAAAAAAGUAUGAGGAUGGAGGAAGGCCCCUCAAACCUGGUUGAACACGUCUGCUGCCUAGGCCCUGGCCUCUCUGGGUGUUCUGCACACAGAUCCUUCUGCCUGGGGCAAGACACUUGGCUUUGAAUCCAUGUCACUUCCCCACAUUCUUCCUCCGUCUCAGCUUUCUUUUCUGUAGGCAGCUCUUUUGUUCGAUUACUAACCCGUCUAACCCCUGGGGUGCCUCAACUGCACCCCGAUCAUCCCUUAACAAACUAACGGACCUGCGUGCGUUCUUCCUUUUCUCUUAGCGACUCCUGUGUGUGUCUGCUGAGGUGCCCUGUCCGCUGGUGCUGUGCUCUGACUUACUAACCCAGCCCCUACUAACCCUGUUUUCUCUUCUUACUAACCCCAGCCCUGCCGAGCUCUGGGCUCCCCCCGGGGGCUGGUCCCCCUCCUUUUGGCAAGCAGAUGACCUGGGGCUACUGGCCCUGUAGACAGAUGUCCCACUUUGCUGCCCCAUAUUGGCUGUAAGAUCAGAGUCCACUGGGCCAGGUCUAAGGCAGGGGAUGGCCCUAUUAACAAGACUCAGAGGAGGAAGAGGUGGUCCUGUGGAUGUGGGAGGCUGGACUCUGAGUAUGACAUCUCUCCUAUGUGCAGAAGUCUGGUUGCCACUGGGAGUAGGUGGGACCAGGGAAAUCUCUGGGACGUGAGUGUGGAGGCCUGUUGGUCUAGACUCUAGACUGUGGAGCUCUGAGCUUUUGUGUCCUCUGGAAGGAAGCUGGGGAAGAAUCCUCUCCAUUGUUAAGUGACGGGGAUAGAAGCUGUCCUGCACAGGAAGUCACGAGGGGGGCGUAUCCCACGAGGAAGGCAGGAGGGGGCGUGCCCCUCACCGGAAAUUAGCAGAGGGGCGUGUCCCACACCGGAAGUCAGAAAGCGGAGCCUUUCUUACACCGGAAGUCAAUGAAGCGGGUCUUUCCUACGCUAAAAACCACUGAGUGGAGUAUUUAGUACACAGGAAGUCGGCCAGAGAAACAUUUCUCAUAUUUGAAGGCCGGAAAGAGGGACAUUUCUGACACCGGAAGUCAGUGAGAGGACUCUUUCCCACACAGGAAGUCAGCUAGAGAGCCGUCUCCCCUCUCUGGAGCCGAGAGAGGCCGGUUUCCCCCACCGUAAGUAGACGUGGGGCCGUGACCGGAAGUCCUUGGGAAAGAUCCGUCCCAUUCCCGGAAGCUAGAGGGCGUUAGUUGUCGGGUUGAAAAGGGGUGUGGGGAGGGGAAGCAGCUUUACCCCGGGCUCGGAGUUUGCAGGAGAGAGAAGUGGGGAGCAAGAAGUGAACCUCAGGGGCUCACAGGGUUCCCGCAGAUGCUCAGGCCGGCCAGGAAUGCAUCUCUGGCUCUCUGUUCCCACGGACGUCACUGCCUCAGCCAGCCUCCCCCAGAGCCCGCCAGCCGCUAAGCCGGGGCCACACCUGGGGGUGAUUUCAUGCCUCACCUCCAGUAGGCACCUUGGUUUCUUUGGGCUAAUCUCUGGCUCCCUUGCGCUAACUCUUGCUCUCACCCAGCUAAUCCCUGCCUCACCCUGACUGCCCCAGGGGCUGACCACUAACAACCAACCUGGCCCUGUCUGGGGGUUCCAGGCUCCUGGCCUGGCCCUGACCGGUUCUUAAUUAACCUUUCCUUCACCUUGACUAACUCCUGCCUUCCUGGUCUGUUCCUUUCAGCAGAAACUAAUGGUUUGUGGAUUUUUUUCUGACUAACAACAGGUCUAACAUUCCUCGUUACUGUUAACAGCUUGGAUGUCGGCAUGGCUGGGAAGGGGCUAACACAGCUUUGAACUUGGCUAACACAGGUUUGAACUUGGCUAACACAGGUUUGAACUUGACUAACACAGGGAAAAGCAUAGCUAACAAUUUUGGGCGUGGUGGCUGCUCUGAGUCAGAACAAUCAGAAGUCGGUAAAGAUGGUAGUUUUCUAAAGGAGGUGCCAGGGCUCUGGUGUGGACCAGGCCUGAUGGAGCAGUGGUACCCACCAAGGUGGGGUCAGAAGUAUAGCCAGUCUUGCAAGGUUUUGGCCAUUGGGCAUAUCUUCACUCCUCAUAGUCUGCAUUUGGUUUCAGUUCUUAAAAAAAUAUAGCCUUAUAGCUACAGUAGUUUGCACAAGUAGAUGCAGCUCUUAUAAACCUUAAAAUACCUGUCUGGUGUCUACAGAGCAUAUGCCAUUUUGUAUAGAGUCACCCUUCCCCAGGCCAGGGCCUAGAGUCUUCAUUUUGGGGACUUUGUGUUUUGGAAGUUCUAGGACAUAAAGCUUUAGAUCAGAGUAUUCAGAAGGGUUAUAACUCCGUCAGUCAUUUACAUGUUAGUAGUAUAAAUUAUCUGAGCUUCCUGUUCUAACUUUUAGCUCUUCUAGCAUAAACUCUUCUGUGCAAUUUAGCUGCACCGAGGAAACGGGAGUUUUUCUGGAAGGGACUUUUGAUCUCUUUAGACUGAGGGAACGUCCUUUGGGAGUAGAGGGGCAGGGAGCAUACGCAAGGGAUUCCAGGUGCAGGUAAAAGGUGGCACUAGUUCAAGGUUUUGCUGACUCAGUCUGGUAGUCAGAGUCUGCAGGAGAAGACAGUUCAAGGCAGGGCCUGGAGGAUUGGAUCAGUUUAGGGACAGGUCAAAGGCUGGCUUACAGACCUUAGAGGCAGGUUGCUUGGGUCGUUGAAUGCUAGUCUGGUGCUGAGAGCCCUUUUCUCUGGCAACUGUGGACUCAGAGCUAACCAAUUGUAGUUGGCAGUGGGGGUGAAGGGUGAUCCAGAGGCCUGAGCUGCAGAGGGCACAAGAGAGAAAAGAUGUCUUAGAAAGAGCUUUGAGAACAUGCCUUGGCUGCUGGCAGGGACCUUGGAUGGGGUAGUCUACACCCGGAAGUGCCUGCCUGCCAUCCUCUAGUGGCUGCCUUGCUCCAUUUCACUCAAAGCAGGAAGCUCACACCUCCUAUUCCUGAAACUCCUCUUUGUUUAACUGCAAAGACUUGAUGCUGCUAAGGAUCUACUAUGUGCCAGGCACUGCUCUGGGCGCUGGGACCUGCACCUGGGCUUUUUCGUCAUGGUGCUUUUAUAGCCUAGUGGGAGAGUUGGUGAAGUAGAUAGUGAUUCAGUGAGAUGGGUGUUAUGAUUGGUCAGGGGUCUGUGGGAGCACCAAGGAGACAGACAAGAUUGAUGUGCACCUACUCUGUGCCAGGCGUGUGCCAGGCAUUGGGGAUGUAGUGGUAGUUAAACACCAUUUGGUCUUCAGGAGCUUUAAUUCUAGUGUGUUGGGUGCAGGGGGGUGGAAUGGGGACAGAGAGACACCUAAUCCACCCUGUGGUGGCUUUCUGGAGAGGGAGGCAUCUAAGCUGAGCUGUGGCUGGGUGGAGUGUGGGUGGGGAUGAGUUCCGGGCAGCGAGAGUGGUGGACACCAGUUUCUGGGGAUCAGAGAGGAUCCAAAGAGGUUCUGGAAGGUUCAUGUGGAAUGUAGCAAGAGAUAGGAGACAUGGACAUGGUGCCGGGUCUGGUUGCCAAGAAGUUUAGAUUUUAUCCUUAGGCCUUGGGGAGCGACGGAUAUGAUCUGAGAAAGGGAGUUAGUGGAUUUGAGUUUUAGGCUGGCCAUUUGGCUUUUCCAGCCCAGGUGGAACUCAGAGGAGUUUGCAAUGGCCUCUGGCCACAUUUUAGACAACUGAGCAGAACUUUUUGAAACUAGGAAGACCCUUUGGUCCAUCUUUUGAUAAACAGAAUCCAUACAUGUCUACCCCAGUUGGAAGUAUCUCUGCAAUGACUGGAAAGUAAAGAGGACCAAGGUGAAAAUAAAGGCUCGGAAGGGGAGCAAUCUUGAAAACAUGUCAUCCCAUGGUGGUGGGAAGUCCCUGGAGAAGAUCAGGGGAAACACAGUCAUAGGCUGCAAGUCUAUAAGAUAAUUCCAUUGGGGAGGGAGCCCAUUUGUCAUGCAUGGCUGCAAGGGGCAGAUACAAGUGUGGAGUAAGCUUGCAAGAGCUGAUCCUGGUCCCAGAGAGGGAAAAAUAUGCCUUGGUGGGUAAUGAACCUUUUGUUCCCAGAGGCAGAAGGAUUGGGACUAGGCCAACAUAGAGAUUGGCGAUGGUUGUGAGAUUCUAAGAGUGUGUGUGCAUCUUGACAAUAUUAGAGGAGGCUGAGCCCAAGCAGGCACAUUCUCUUCGACCCCUCCCUCAUUCAGUCUGCUUUGGAGUCUACUGAACAUCAAGCUUGCUAUGAGCAGGAUCUUAGAGCUGAGGAAUUGGCCUCCCAAUCCGAACAGGUGUUAUAAUCCUUUCUUAAUAGGUUGUGCUGUGGACCCAAUGUGAGGGCUGUGCUGGUGUAAAUGGUGACAUGUUGAGCUGGGGGGAUGCUUUCGGGGUGGGGGGACUGGUUCCAUUCCAUCAAAGGCCCUCUUGAGAGUCUAUCCAGGGACCCAUUGUUUUACUUUAACAGACCAGAAAAGAUGUUUGUUUUCCAUGUCAUUACCCCCAGGGGAUACCGAAUGUGUGGGUAGAAAUUUCUCUGUAGAUUAAAAAUCAGAUUUUUACAUGGAUUCAACAAAGGAGCGUCACUUGGAUUUUUGUUUUCAUCCAUGAAUGUAGCUGCUUCUGUGUAAAAUGCCAUUUUGCUAUUAAAAAUCAAUUCACGCUGGAAACAUGACUGUGGCCUAUGAAGCAGAAGGGACGUGCUGUUUAGGGGAGAGGGGGCAGCCAGUGGCAUUCUCAAGGAGCAGGGGUGGGCUCUCUCGGUGAGUCAGCCUUUCCUCAAGAGUGACCCUAGAAGUCAAUAUAAUAGGGUAUUUUAUUUUUUAAUUUUGGUAAAAUAAUCAUAACAUAAAACUUCACCACCAUAAUAAUUUCUAAGUGAACAUCUUGGUGGUAUCAUUCACAUUGUUGUGCAACCAUUAUCACCAUUGGUAUUUAUUUUUCUUUUCUUUUUUUUAGAGAUGAGGUCUUGCUAUGUUGCCCAGGCUGGCUUUGAUCUCCUGGUCUCAAGCGAUCCUCUUGCUUCAGCCUCUUGAGUAGCUGGGACUGCAGGCGUGCACCACUGUGCCUGGUGGUAUUUUUAAAAAAUAACACUUCUUUAUGCCUAGGGCAGUGCUUCCAGAAAUCCAGGUUCUUAUUGCCA
Molecule: long non-coding RNA, 11015 nt
Filed under: Homo sapiens (human)
Lineage: Eukaryota; Metazoa; Chordata; Mammalia; Primates; Hominidae
Description: HSALNT0405340
Rfam family: Myocardial infarction associated transcript exon 5 conserved region 3 (bases 7318-7694)
Source: RNAcentral